ACGGCUCAGUAACACGUAGUCAACAUACCCAGAGGACGUGGAUAACCUCGGGAAACUGAGUCUAAACCGCGAUAGGUCAAGAUUCCUGGAAUGGUUCCUGAUCGAAAUCUAUAUGGCCUUUGGAUUGGACUGCGGCCGAUCAGGCUGUUGGUGAGGUAAUGGCCCACCAAACCUGUAACCGGUACGGGCUCUGAGAGGAGGAGCCCGGAGAUGGGCACUGAGACAAGGGCCCAGGCCCUAUGGGGCGCAGCAGGCGCGAAGCCUCUGCAAUAGGCGAAAGCCUGACAGGGUUACUCUGAGUGACUUUCGUUAAGAGAGUCUUUUGGCACCUCUAAAAAGGGUGUAGAAUAAGGGGUGGGCAAGUCUGGUGUCAGCCGCCGCGGUAAUACCAGCACCCCGAGUGGUCGGGACGAUUAUUGGGCCUAAAGCAUCCGUAGCCGGUUUUACAAGUCCCCCGUUAAAUCCAGCUGCUUAACAGAUGGGCUGCGGAGGAUACUAUAAGACUAGGAGGCAGGAGAGGCAAGCGGUACUCAGUGGGUAGGGGUAAAAUCCGUUGAUCCAUUGAAGACCACCAGUGGCGAAGGCGGCUUGCCAGAAUGCGCUCGACGGUGAGGGAUGAAAGCUGGGGGAGCAAACCGGAUUAGAUACCCGGGUAGUCCCAGCUGUAAACGAUGCAGACUCGGUGAUGGACUAGCUUUAUGCUAGUCCAGUGCCGCAGGGAAGCCGUUAAGUCUGCCGCCUGGGUAGUACGGUCGCAAGACUGAAACUUAAAGGAAUUGGCGGGGGAGCAC
This 791-nucleotide ribosomal RNA is filed under the name uncultured archaeon. RNAcentral's name for it is "bacterial SSU rRNA". It matches the Rfam family "Archaeal small subunit ribosomal RNA", at positions 85 to 879 of the family's 1478-position model. The record is from RNAcentral.